UACGUAGGUGGCGAGCGUUGUCCGGAAUUACUGGGUGUAAAGGGCGUGUAGGCGGGAGAGUAAGUCAGAUGUGAAAUUCCAGGGCUCAACCCUGGCGCUGCAUCUGAAACUAUUCUUCUUGAGUGCUGGAGAGGAAAGCGGAAUUCCUAGUGUAGCGGUGAAAUGCGUAGAUAUUAGGAGGAACACCAGUGGCGAAGGCGGCUUUCUGGACAGUAACUGACGCUGAGGCGCGAAAGCGUGGGGAGCAAACAGG
RNAcentral lists this ribosomal RNA (253 nucleotides) under uncultured bacterium. RNAcentral's name for it is "partial 16S ribosomal RNA". It matches the Rfam family "Bacterial small subunit ribosomal RNA", at positions 524 to 776 of the family's 1533-position model. The record is from RNAcentral.